This is a long non-coding RNA of Helianthus annuus (common sunflower), 1397 nucleotides long. RefSeq lists it as uncharacterized. The transcript is spliced from 3 exons. NCBI's taxonomy places the organism in Eukaryota, Viridiplantae, Streptophyta, Magnoliopsida, Asterales, Asteraceae. The record is from RefSeq and is a predicted model, not a curated record.
GAGACAGAGUUAGAGAGAGAAGUGUGAUGGUGAAGGUGCGUGUCCAUUGCCUCCAACCGGCCAUUCGACUUACAUCCUUUCUGCCUCAAGUACGCGUCUCAACAGAGAACGAAAAUUUGAGAGAGAGAAAGAACGGUCGGUAUUAGAGAUAGAAAGAGCUGGAGCGGUUGCUGGUUGCAAUCGUUGGAAGGCCGACAGUGACGGUAGUGGUUGGGUAGCUUAGGGUUCCGGUCGGCAUGUGUUGUUAGGGUUAAAGUGAAAUACGAGAAGCCACAGAGCAUUCAUCAGACACAUUCCGCCUCCAUCCUCGAUCCUGCCACGACCUACAGCCGGCCACCCUGUUUUGGUCCACUUCUAUCCUCAGAUUACAUGUGUUCUGGUUCUGAUUACUUGAUUAUUAUAGAGGGCUCCAAUAAUCUUGAAGAUUAUUUCUUCAAUAUUGAGAAAUACUUUUGAGUUAUGAUAAAAAAAAAACUAAUAAACUUCAAAAGAUUCGUUGUAGACCAAACAGAAAUCCUUGUAUUUAUAUUUACUUUACUUGAUCGUCAUCUCCCGUUGAUGAAAAAACAUGGUUUCUGUUUCUAUUUUUAAGCUUUUUGGUGUUCUUGAUGAAGCUUUUUAUUGUUGUGUUCGAAUUAGAAUUAUGGAAUAUAUUAGUGUAGUUGUAUGUUUAACGUUGAAUUCAAGUAACAUGCCAUAGAAGAAUGGUGGAUCUGUCUAUGAAGUUAAUGCGGUAAAAUAUCGGAUAUCGGCUGUGGACCGAUAUUUGAGAUAUAGGUUAUCCCGGUGAGAUAUCGGUGGGAUAUCGGUGAUUUUAAUACAAUGCAAAAUUUAUAUAUAUAGCAAUUUAACACUAAUAAUUCAGUGAUAUAUUGGUGAUAUAUCGAUUAUAGCGGGCAAAUAUCAGUGAUAUAUUGGUUAUAUCGGUCAAAUAUCGGUGAUAUAUCGGUUAUAUCGGUCAAUAUCAUCGAUAAUAUCGGUACCGAUAUUUUGACCGAUAUUUGAGACCAAUAUUUUACUAGGGGACCAAUAUAACCGAUAUAUCACCGAGAUUUACUGCAUAGGGAUCUGUUCCUUGAACAAGAAAAGCAAUACUGGAAGACUCGACCAAGUUAUCCACAACAAACAAUUGUUUGAUUUCAUCGCCUCCAUGAUGCCAAGGAACGGCGUCGUUUGGGAUGCCAGCACCGGCUGCGGUCAGGCCGUCACCUCAGCUGGCAACGUUCUCCAUUACUGCAUUGAGAACAUUAAGAAUAUCGCUCACAAAAUGGUUAUUCUGAUGUUCAGAGGACAUCUGCUACCGGCGGUCUAUGAGAGGGUACCGCAAAGAGUGAGAGAUCAAACGAGGAUGAUAUAUUUGGAGAAUCUGCACCUAGAUCAUUAGCUAUGCAAUGGAA